RNAcentral lists this transfer RNA (73 nucleotides) under Ochromonas sp. CCMP1393. RNAcentral's name for it is "tRNA-Arg". It matches the Rfam family "tRNA". Rfam says of the family: Transfer RNA (tRNA) molecules are approximately 80 nucleotides in length. Their secondary structure includes four short double-helical elements and three loops (D, anti-codon, and T loops). Lineage: Eukaryota; Chrysophyceae; Chromulinales; Chromulinaceae. The record is from RNAcentral.
GAGCUUGUAGCUCAGGGGCUAGAGCACGUGGCUACGAACUACGGUGUCGGGGGUUCAAAUCCUCCCUUGCUCA